GUGUCAGCCGCCGCGGUAAAACGUAGGAGGCGAGCGUUAUCCGGAUUUACUGGGCGUAAAGCGCGGGCAGGUGGUGUCUUAAGUCAGGCGUGAAAGCUCCCGGCUCAACCGGGAGAGGUCGUGUGAAACUGGGACACUGGAGGGAGCGAGAGGCAGACGGAAUUCCGGGUGGAGUGGUGAAAUGCGUAGAGAUCCGGAGGAACACCAGUGGCGAAGGCGGUCUGCUGGCGCUAACCUGACACUCAGCCGCGAAAGCAUGGGGAGCGAACGGGAUUAGAAACCCUUGUAGUCC
RNAcentral lists this ribosomal RNA (292 nucleotides) under uncultured bacterium. RNAcentral describes it as "partial 16S ribosomal RNA". It matches the Rfam family "Bacterial small subunit ribosomal RNA", at positions 505 to 796 of the family's 1533-position model. The record is from RNAcentral.